CGGCUAAAUAAAUACAUCUAAAUUAAACACGAUAAUCUAGAAAGAGACGUUCACACGCACAUUCCAACAUCUAAUGAAACACUUAUUCCUAAAUUUCGCCUACCCGGCCUACGAUUGCCUACCCGCUUGACCUACCAUGAUACUAUCACGAAAUUGAUAAUUAGACGUGAAAGUAACAAUAACGAUGAAUCAAAACAACAACAAAUCAAAAUUAAUCCUAAUUGACUUUAAUAAUUUUUAACUCACGCCCCGAAUUCCCUUUAAACCACAUGAUUAGUGCAUGCUCCGAUUUUCCAAUCACAUCUCAUAAUCCGAAACCAACAUCAAACACAACAUGAACAAUGAAGAUUCAAACCAAACACACAACAAAUAAAUCAUCUGCACCAACAACAUCGAUAAAAAGUCAAAAUAAAUUAAAGAUUCGGUUAGAAGAAAUAGACCUCGAUGAAAUUGAUCCUUGUCGAUAAUAAGAAAUCCGAAGACCAAAAUACUCAACUGGAGAACCUCACAACGAGCAAACCAAACUCGGUAUUAAAAUAAUAACCGAACAACUCCAAAACCAGUGAAGACAAACUUUUAUAUACGAAAACACAAC
Molecule: long non-coding RNA, 595 nt
Filed under: Capsicum annuum
Lineage: Eukaryota; Viridiplantae; Streptophyta; Magnoliopsida; Solanales; Solanaceae
Description: long non-coding RNA (CANN_LNC014402)
Source: RNAcentral